UACGUAGGUGGCAAGCGUUAUCCGGAUUUACUGGGUGUAAAGGGCGUGUAGGCGGGAAUGCAAGUCAGAUGUGAAAACUCAGGGCUCAACCCUGAGCCUGCAUUUGAAACUGUGUUUCUUGAGUGCUGGAGAGGCAAUCGGAAUUCCGUGUGUAGCGGUGAAAUGCGUAGAUAUACGGAGGAACACCAGUGGCGAAGGCGGAUUGCUGGACAGUAACUGACGCUGAGGCGCGAAAGCGUGGGGAGCAAACAGG
RNAcentral lists this ribosomal RNA (253 nucleotides) under uncultured bacterium. Its description in RNAcentral is "partial 16S ribosomal RNA". It matches the Rfam family "Bacterial small subunit ribosomal RNA", at positions 524 to 776 of the family's 1533-position model. The record is from RNAcentral.